RNAcentral lists this long non-coding RNA (466 nucleotides) under Vulpes vulpes (red fox). RNAcentral describes it as "lncRNA (ENSVVUG00000002986.1)". The record is from RNAcentral. Lineage: Eukaryota; Metazoa; Chordata; Mammalia; Carnivora; Canidae.
AUGGAGAUGGAAACUCUGGGAGAAAUCCAGGGCUCCCCCUCCACCAAACAUCACCCUCUGCUCCCUGAUUCCCAAGACCAAGGAGUGAUGUGUCCAGCUCAUCUUUGGAGCCCAGGCCAUGUUACAAGUCGGAUUUGUCCUUUCCUGCAGAAGCUCUCAGCCAGCAUUCUGACUGCCCAUUUCCAGCCAUCCAUCAUCACCUGCCAGGAACAGUUCCGAAGAUUGUGUGAUGGGCCUGAUGCCUGGAUAAUUCAUUCAUGAUACCAACAUGGAACAGGAAUGACUGCCCAAAGAAAAAUGUUUGUCUCUCCACUUUCAGAUACCCAGUGCUUGGUGUGUUACAGAUAUGCAAGAGAAAGUUAGAUUAAAGUAAAGAGGAAAGGAAAGAAGGAUGGAAGAGAAGGAGGGAGGGAGGGAAAGUAUUAUCUUUUCCUAGCCCAUUCAUUUUCCUUAUUAAAAGGGGUUU